Molecule: unclassified non-coding RNA, 281 nt
Filed under: Hevea brasiliensis (rubber tree)
Lineage: Eukaryota; Viridiplantae; Streptophyta; Magnoliopsida; Malpighiales; Euphorbiaceae
Source: RNAcentral
GCCCGCGGCCGGGGGAUUGAAGGGGUGGGGACAAGGGAGGCUAUCAGCACUUCACCUUAUAGUAAGAAAUUCACUAAUAGGUAGAGUUCUAAUACCACCACCUUUAGGAAAAUAUGAAAAGCACAAAAUUCUGUGUUUAUGUAAUCCAUAUCAAUGAAGCAAAGAAGCAAAUCAGAAAUGUUAAAGGAUAAUUGCUAAAAACUUGCAGAAUCGAGAAGGGCAUAGCAAAAGAUUCUAAUGCACAUACAAGGAGCAAGGGCCGAGGCUCAGCUGCACCAGCG